GAUGUCGAUCGAUACACCAAGGGUGUCGAUCGACACCCACACCAAAACCUUAAAAAUUGGUUCGCGGAUGUUACAAGAAGUGUAGAGACAACAAUUGGAUUUAAUUUCGGCGUAAAACUUACCAUAUAGUUUUGGAUUUCUUUUUCCUUGCAAGUAGAGAAAUAUUUUUCCUACAAUGGAUCACUAAGGUAAUAUCUCUAUCUUUUGUUUAUAAUUCUGCGUCAUAGUUAUCAAAUAAUUUAGAGUCAUCAUCGUUUGUUAAUUAUUUUCUUUUGUUUAAAAUGAGGAGAAAUAUGAGGAACACUAAAUCAAAGAUGUAUGAUUAUAGCUUUUGAGUGGAGCUUCGAGAUAUAUAAUCGAAUUGUCUUCUUUUAAAGGUUUUUAGCUAUCCAUCAAAGUAGAUUUUGAAUAUUAUUGUGGUUGACAUGGAUACCUGUUUAGUUGUUUUUCAAGUUCAAAGUUUCGUUAAUUAUUUUCUUUUGUUAAAAGUCAGGAGAAAUAUGAAGAACACUAAAUGAAAGAUGUUUGAUUAUAGCUUUUGAGUGGACCUUCGAGAUAUAUAAUCGAAUUGACUCUUCUUUGCGCAGGUUUGUAGCUUUCCAUCAAAGUAGAUUUUGAAUAUUAUCCCCAUCGUUGACUUUCUCUACUUUCUUAUUGCAAGAACGACAACUAAUAUAGUACCAAGCCCAGUCUGUGUCAAUGGCGUAGACAGUGCAAUGAAUCCUUGCUUUUCCAAUCUGUAGAUAGAUAUUUUUUAUUGGUUAGUUUGCAUAAAUCAAUAGAGUUAACAUAAGCUUUUAAUACCUCAAAAGCACUCUUCAACUCUUCAAUAGUUCUCCUAGGAUACUCUUCUGCAUUUUCAGCUUGGACAGCAGCCAUCCCCCACCUUGGUUGUCUCUGACGAAAUAUGAGAGACAGGCCAUCAUCUGGGAGCCUGUGACAAUUUGAUUAUAUAUGUUUAAGUGAUUACAAUUCGAACUCACUAAUUAUGGGGGUUCACAUGGACUUGAGAUGCAUCAAAUGAAUUAGUCAAAAAGUUUACACCUGACAGAAUAAAAUCAUAAGAUGCAUGGAUCAUUAAAAUACUUGAUUUUAUCUUCACAAAUCUGAGGACACAGGUGAUGAUGCUUCCAUCAGAGUCUUGGCAGGAUUGCCAUACGUGCUCGGCAAAGGGACUCCACAAGUAGACCUUACCAUCGAGUCUGACAACACCAACUCAAGUGUUUCACCACCAUUUAGAUGCCAUGAAUGGAUGACCUUGACUUGAACCCUCCAUGAGGUUUUGUAGGGGCGAACGUCUUUCAAGAAAGCAAAGGUAGCAGCCAUAAUGUUGAUUGAUAUUUGAGUAGCGUAAUUGUUGGAGCAGAUUUUUGGAAAUCAAGCAGUUUAAACAGAAUUCGUGGAGAAGAUUGUAAGGCAAGAAAAUCUUUGUCAUUUAAUUGUUACGAAUAAACGGGUGAGAGGAGAAGGUGUAAUCGUGUUCUUGAGAAUGUUACAACUUUCGAUAGAGGCUGGGCUUGGCCCAAUUGUUUUUUGUAAUCAACAAAUCGUGUGACCCAAAAAGAAUAUUUGUUUGUAAGGUAUUAAAGACUGUGGCAGGGUUGUAAAUAAGUUGGAAGUCCAGGAUUUAUUCUAUAAAUGUUUCUGAAAAUGUAUAUAUAGAUUUUAUGAA
Camelina sativa (false flax) is the source of this 1672-nucleotide non-coding RNA. The record is from RefSeq and is a predicted model, not a curated record. NCBI's taxonomy places the organism in Eukaryota, Viridiplantae, Streptophyta, Magnoliopsida, Brassicales, Brassicaceae.